UGGGGAAUUUUGGACAAUGGGGGCAACCCUGAUCCAGCAAUGCCGCGUGUGUGAAGAAGGCCUUCGGGUUGUAAAGCACUUUUGUCCGGAAAGAAAACGUCGUGGUUAAUACCCGUGGCGGCUGACGGUACCGGAAGAAUAAGCACCGGCUAACUACGUGCCAGCAGCCGCGGUAAUACGUAGGGUGCAAGCGUUAAUCGGAAUUACUGGGCGUAAAGCGUGCGCAGGCGGUCCGCUAAGACAGAUGUGAAAUCCCCGGGCUUAACCUGGGAACUGCAUUUGUGACUGGCGGGCUAGAGUAUGGCAGAGGGGGGUAGAAUUCCACGUGUAGCAGUGAAAUGCGUAGAGAUGUGGAGGAAUACCGAUGGCGAAGGCAGCCCCCUGGGCCAAUACUGACGCUCAUGCACGAAAGCGUGGGGGAGCAAACAGGAUUAGAUACCCUGGUAGUCCACGCCCUAAACGAUGUCAACUAGUUGUCGGGUCUUCAUUGACUUGGUAACGUAGCUAACGCGUGAAGUUGACCGCCUGGGGAGUACGGUCGCAAGAUUAAAACUCAAAGGAAUUGACGGGGUC
RNAcentral lists this ribosomal RNA (573 nucleotides) under uncultured bacterium. RNAcentral describes it as "partial 16S ribosomal RNA". It matches the Rfam family "Bacterial small subunit ribosomal RNA", at positions 355 to 920 of the family's 1533-position model. The record is from RNAcentral.